GGAAGAUUGGCAGAGUGGUUUAUUGCGCUGGUCCUGAAAAUCAGUUGCCCUUUGGGGCUCGUAGGUUCGAAUCCUUCAUCUUCCG
This 85-nucleotide transfer RNA is filed under the name Butyrivibrio sp. Its description in RNAcentral is "tRNA-Ser". It matches the Rfam family "tRNA". Rfam says of the family: Transfer RNA (tRNA) molecules are approximately 80 nucleotides in length. Their secondary structure includes four short double-helical elements and three loops (D, anti-codon, and T loops). The record is from RNAcentral. Lineage: Bacteria; Bacillati; Bacillota; Clostridia; Lachnospirales; Lachnospiraceae. RNAcentral also lists the same sequence under 1 other name.